CUUUAUGAAAAGCCAAAAAGUGCAAAAUCUCAAAAUUGACAGGUGCCUGAAAAAACAGUGUUUUUGCCUGUAGUGUCUCCCCUUAAGAAGUUUUACAUUUUUUAUACUAAUUAAUGUUUAUUUAGUGCAUCGUGAAACUGUGAAUGAGAAGCUCCUUUAGGUUAAAAAGACCAAAAUAGGUAUUGGUUUAUAUAUACUCAAUAUAAUAACAUUACACAAAGCUAUUUUAAUUGCAGUUAUAAACAAGUCAACAAUAGAUGCUGACCUUCCAAAUAUAGUUUACAUGGAUAUGUGUUUCUGAAAGUCUGGUAAUAUGCACUUUUCCUGAAAAAGGCAGCACUGUCACAGAUUUCUGCACCUUACUUUGAACUACCACGGCUUUCAGAACUACUAUCAUUACUAUGUAUCACUAUUGCUUUCGCUUCUUUAUAUUCAUGACAUGCAUUAAUAAAACCACCUUUAAAAUUCCAUUUACAUAGCCUAAAAGUGCUCAGCUUAAAAUGAGCAUGAGAUUAAAAUAACAGGGAGAAAGAGAAAAAGGAGAAAAGCACUUCAUCAUCGUUUUAGCCAGGACACCCUCAGGGCAGCUUGUUCAAACGAGUUCCCGUUAAGCAAACGGUGACUGUUCUCUAUUGCGAUCACGAUUAUGAGAGGUGGACGACACUCUCGUCAGGUACAUUUCAUCCAGCUAAACUGCAUCUUCAGCUCCAGUCCAUUCAAGUCAAUGCGUUCUCUGAUGUGUUUUGUACCAACCAUAUCUACUGCAACAAGACGGGCACUUUAAGAGGUGCGAUUGAAAACACAAACCACAAAUCCAUUCAUGUCCAGGGUGUGUGUUUAAUGUCAUUUGGUUGUUUUUGUCUCCCCGAACAGAGCGAGAACAUGACGCUGGCAGACACGAGCGGCGUUUUUGGCAGACGUUCCCUGAUGACAGCUGGUCAACAGCAUCUUCUCGAAACCUGAUUGAGUUUCCCUUUUAUUUAAACACCCGUUAUGAUUCCAAUCAGAUCCAUUCGUAGAGAUGCAGAGUAGAAUGAAUCUAUAAAAUUACAUUUUUAUUCUAAAAUAUGGACAGUGUAAUGCAGAUGAUUUUUUUUUUUUUUUUGUAAAAAAAAAAAAAAAAACUUUCUAAACAUUUGCUUUGCUGACUUCAAACAAGACACAUGAAUAUAAAUAUGACAUGUGGUAUGAAAACGCCAUGUUUUGACAAAUAAUUCACCUAUACAGGUGUUUGUGCAUUACAUACACAAAGUAAACACUACACACACACAAACUUCCUAGGGAAUGCAAUGACAAUAAUCAGACGUUGCCGAAAUUAAGACUAAAAUUAAGGCAAAAUCCACCCGCCUGAAUCCACAUUUCUCAAAUGACUUGGACGUAUCUGUAUCUAUAAAUGUGUCAAAAGUACGAAUCGGGGUAGCUAAAAAAUUCUGUGGUUGCCUCGCUGGAGGGAGUCUUCCAGGAAGUACAAUCAGCGUGUGCAUUUUUUUUAGACUACAGUUUUAAAUAGGAUCUUUACCUUUAUCCAACAUUUCUCUUUUUGAUUUCGCCUUAUGAGCAUGACAGAUUAUGAUUAGGCGCAGACACACAUUUGCACUGUUCUUCUGUUACCAUGGUUACCAUUUUGAGAGAUGAUGGGAAUACAUCCCAUAAUUAAAUGUUCAGAACAUCAGCAUUAUAACAAUAUUUCGAGUAAUAAAACAUCAUCUCUGAAGUACA
Megalobrama amblycephala (Wuchang bream) is the source of this 1719-nucleotide long non-coding RNA. RefSeq lists it as uncharacterized. NCBI's taxonomy places the organism in Eukaryota, Metazoa, Chordata, Actinopteri, Cypriniformes, Xenocyprididae. The transcript is spliced from 2 exons. The record is from RefSeq and is a predicted model, not a curated record.